AAGAGGAGAAAACGCAGGAGGAACUGGAAUAGAUCAGGGGUUGAAAUGGAGUAUAUUCAUUUUAUGCUAUAAUUUACUUUCUGGUUUCUAAAGAUGAAAAAGAUGUAGGCAACUUGAAAUCCUAGAGAGCAGGAACAAGCAGAGAAAAGGGAGUGCUGAAGAUAAAGAAGACAGGAUAAUCACUGGUGCCUAAGAAAGGUAACUUUCUUUGCCAUUGAGACUAUCAUCUAUGCAUUGGGAGUAAGCCUUUGUUGUUCCCUCAACUCCAUUUGAGGAAGCCUCAACUACUGGAAGGUGGGACUGAUGCAGCAUAGAGACAAGCAGUCCUGCUAAGAUCCCUGAGACCAAUAGACUAAGUGACUGUAUUGUGAGUAACCCCAGACAGAGAUUAUCAGCAGAAGACUUGCUCAGGAGAUACGCCUCGUCCAAGGUAAGGAGCAGCAGCUGCACUUUGCUAGAGCAGCUAUGAAGAGAUUCCCCACAUCCAAGUUAUUUGAGAAGUAUUUGGAGGACUCUGGUCCAUGCAGACAUCCAUAAACACAGAUUCCUUCUAUCAGUGGAUCUGCUUUGGCUUAGAAGUUCAAAUUCCUCCACUGGAUCAACUGAUGAAGCUCCUGUUAAAAAGCUCUGCUGCAGCCCGGUGCUGGUUCUCUAUACCCAGAUCCCAGGCAGGAUCCGCUCCUGUGGGGUUGGUGUGGGCGUGCUGAAGCUGAUGAUGGUUUCUCAUCCUUCUCCUCUGGCUUUAUGGCGGAAGGAAUACUGCCAAAUUUAUCAUUGACUUUGUAGAAGAGUUCUGAGUACAAAUCUGACAAAGGACAGCUGAAGCAAUGAGAGAGGUGAAGCAUAAAUAUCCCCAAACAACCUAUUUUCCAUAUUGAAAUGUGUUUCUUCUAAGAUGGGAAAGCUUUAAUGAAGUUGAAGAUGACUGCAAAGUGGCUUACCUGACAGAUGAAGCAAUAAGCCCAUUCCCUCUCUACAGCUAAAGGCUUAAAAUUAUCCAUCUGUCAUCUCUCUAGUGGGUGGAGAUUAUAAUAGAAAGCAGCAAGCUAUCUUAAUUACAUAACUAUUCCAGUUCCAAUUAUAUAUCAUGUAGCGUUUAAAGUACAUUAUCUCCCUACAAUAAAUUGAACAUAUAACAAUGGCACUUCUCACUUUUAUCUCUGACAUUUCUAUUUUUUAUUACUAAUUUUUGUUUAAUGUAGUAUUUUUUCACAUUUUAUCUUGAUGUGACUUCUGUCCUUUUUGGUAUUGAAUUAUGAAAUAUGCAGUGCUUAUUUGUUGGCAAUUACUAUGUGCCUGAAUCCAUAUCAGUUUGUCAUACAAGUUUUUAAUAAGGAAAAAGGAAAGUAACAGCUUGAUUUAAAUAUUUAAACUUUUGUUUUUUUAAUUGUUUAUCUGUCACUUGGUGCAAUAGUUCUCAAGGUACCCUACUCCAAGGGACUAUAAGGUGUAUAGACUUACUUAUAUGACUGAGCAAAAGAUGCUUGUGAUUUAGUUCAAUAUUCUUCACUUCCACAGUUGGAUAGAUACUGCAAGUUCAAACAUAGUACUGAUUUUGAGAUUUUUUUUCCUUUCAUGUGAUUCACUCAAUGAUAACCUUGAGCUGUAACCUUCACAAGUGAGUAUGUAACAGGUAUAUUGAGCUUGUUAGGAUUAAGAACACUUAAAAAGAAAACCUUUUUAA
This is a long non-coding RNA of Bubalus bubalis (water buffalo), 1684 nucleotides long. RefSeq lists it as uncharacterized. NCBI's taxonomy places the organism in Eukaryota, Metazoa, Chordata, Mammalia, Artiodactyla, Bovidae. The record is from RefSeq and is a predicted model, not a curated record. The transcript is spliced from 6 exons.